GCUGCCGCUGGCGCAGCUGGGCGGCGCACCGCUGGUCUCGGUGGCGGUGGCGCUGCUCGGGUUCGGUCUGGCGGCCC
Molecule: transfer RNA, 77 nt
Filed under: Mycolicibacterium chitae
Lineage: Bacteria; Bacillati; Actinomycetota; Actinomycetes; Mycobacteriales; Mycobacteriaceae
Description: tRNA-Glu
Source: RNAcentral